CUUCCUCUUCUCUCCUCUCUCCUUCUCACCAUCUCCUCUUCCUCCAGUAGCCUCCAUCUUUGGGAUCCUGUAGACGUCCGUCCGCUCAGUCCAACUGACAGUUGUGGGUAAACAACAACAACAGUCGUUGUCCAGAAGCCUGGCAAGGUUAUACACAGCGACAGAGCAGGAUGCCGCCAGUAUCGGAGACUGCAGGAGCGCUGCCCAGGACAGGUCUCAUGUGCAGUGGGUUUCAACAGAGAUUGCAGACUGAUGUGCCACAUGUCCCUCCAUCGGCAGCCAUUUUCUGGAUGAAUCCACACACGGUUGAGAAGGAUAUGCCAACCAGUGGUGCGGCUACACAGCAAGAAUAAACCCCAAUGAACGUCUAAAUAGCGUAUAUUAGGUUUGUUUAAAAAUAAGAAAUAAUGUUUCCAUCUACUUACCAACAACAUCUUGGAGCUCCUUGUUAAAAGUGAUGUACCGGGAAGUGACAAGGCGCGGGGGACUGAACCCUAUCUCUUCAGCAAAUUGAAAAA
This is a long non-coding RNA of Hyla sarda, 518 nucleotides long. RefSeq lists it as uncharacterized. The record is from RefSeq and is a predicted model, not a curated record. NCBI's taxonomy places the organism in Eukaryota, Metazoa, Chordata, Amphibia, Anura, Hylidae. The transcript is spliced from 4 exons.